This is a long non-coding RNA of Phragmites australis (common reed), 452 nucleotides long. RefSeq lists it as uncharacterized. The transcript has 3 exons. Lineage: Eukaryota; Viridiplantae; Streptophyta; Magnoliopsida; Poales; Poaceae. The record is from RefSeq and is a predicted model, not a curated record.
AAGUUAGGAUGUUACAUUUGAGGCAUCUUGUAACAGCUAGGAACGGAAGAGCCGAAUCGAGUGAAGCUGCCCUAGGGCGUUUCUCGGUCCCAGCCACAGUGGAAGAAACGUUUCGACCAUUUCAUGCAGACCGCCUUACUUAUUUUGCCGUUUGGUUUAGGUCUGUUCGGAAUAAGAUCCACUUAUUUCACAUGAGGGACCGGAUGCAAGUUACUGUAUCAUCUCUCAUAAAAUGUUCCCACGUGACUUUACCGUUGUGAAGCAAGAGGAUUUGGAUCCGAACUGGCCAGGCUGGAGAGAAGUUGUAGUAGCAAACAGAGCAGCUUUCUUGUGUGGUUGCAGGCGUUGUUGCAUUUGUUUAUUAUAGCAUUCCCCUCUUGCCUCUCCCAUGUCUACCUUUUCUUUUCUUUAAUCCUGGUUCUAGAGUCCUUUAUUUCUUUCUGUCAAAGCUC